This 119-nucleotide ribosomal RNA is filed under the name Gossypium hirsutum (cotton). The record is from RNAcentral. RNAcentral also lists the same sequence under 1 other name. Lineage: Eukaryota; Viridiplantae; Streptophyta; Magnoliopsida; Malvales; Malvaceae.
GGUUGUGAUCAUACCAGUAGUAUUGCACAGGAUCCCAUUAGAACUCCGUAGUUAAGCGUGCUUGCGGGAUAGUAGUACUAUGAUGGGAGACCUUCCGGGAAGUCCUCGUGUUGCACCUC